CCCUUAGAUGUUCUGGGCUGCACGCGCGCUACACUGAUACUUUCAGCGAGUCCACCACCUUGCCUGGGAGGGUGGGGUAACCUCUGGAAAGUGCAUCGUGAUGGGGAUCGAUUAUUGUAAUUAUUAAUCUUCAACGAGGAAUUCCUAGUAAGCAUGUGUCAUCAGCCCGUGCUGAUUACGUCCCUGCCCUUUGUACACACCGCCCGUCGCUCCUACCGAUUGGAUGGUCCGGUGAAGCCUCGGGAUUGUGGUUCUUGCCGCUUUAUUGUGGCGUGACCGCGAGAACUUGUCUAAACCUUAUCAUCUAGAGGAAGGUGAAGUCGUAACA
Molecule: ribosomal RNA, 328 nt
Filed under: uncultured eukaryote
Lineage: Eukaryota
Description: partial 18S ribosomal RNA
Rfam family: Eukaryotic small subunit ribosomal RNA
Source: RNAcentral